AUUGUAAGAGACAAAGCUCCAAAGAGAUGGAUUUCAGACUUCCCUUGAUUGUUGUGUCUGUGCUGUUGGGUGUUGCAGCCACUGAUGACACUAACACGUACACGUGUGCGUGCCUGAUGAACGUCAUCGACGGCCAGCUCCGCAAGCCCUUUGCUAUAGUACCGGGGCCUGAGGUUACAACCAGAAAUGGCCCGUGUGAUGCUGAGCUGAUGUGCAGAACACCAUGCAACGCCAUCCUUCACAAUUACGUGAGAUCUAAUAGUGUGGCAGAGGAUGCCUGUGCCACAGUUAUGCCCCCUCCAAAUGGGCAAUGGGAGAUUGGUCUGUUUGCUACGAUAAUGGACAAUCCCUGCGUAUUACAAAUCCUGUUCCCCAUCCCAUUGAGCUUCAGGUGUGAAAAUGGGACCUUGGUGGAUCAAAUACCUCUUAAUAUGAGAACAUAUUUCAUAGAAGGCCUGACUGAGGUGCUGAUGUAGAAUUAGUGAAAUGUCUGCCCUCAGUGGAAGUCAGGGAGGAGGGGGGUGAAUGUCACUCAUCUUCAGGUGUUACAUUACAAACAUGACACCAAUAAAUAAAGUCUGAAAGGUUUCAAUAAGAACUGUGUGGUUUUGUUACAUAUUUGAAUUGCCAAAGCCCUAGUUUUCUUUCUCUACCUUUAUGUUUAAGGCAAAGCUCCUCCAUUUUAAGAGGAAAGCAUUCCUCUUUCACAAAUUCUCAAUAAUCGCACGGAUUAUGAGAAAGAUUGAAAAACGGUAAAAAAAAAAUUCUGAAAAGUCCAGA
RNAcentral lists this long non-coding RNA (780 nucleotides) under Lepisosteus oculatus (spotted gar). RNAcentral describes it as "lncRNA (ENSLOCG00000021470.1)". The record is from RNAcentral. Lineage: Eukaryota; Metazoa; Chordata; Actinopteri; Semionotiformes; Lepisosteidae.